GGGCGUGUGGCACAGUGGGAGGAACUGGGCUUGUAACCGAAAGGCCCAGGUUCGAUUCCCGGGUAAGGACA
Molecule: transfer RNA, 71 nt
Filed under: Anguilla anguilla (European eel)
Lineage: Eukaryota; Metazoa; Chordata; Actinopteri; Anguilliformes; Anguillidae
Description: tRNA-OTHER
Source: RNAcentral